UGGGGAAUUUUGGACAAUGGGCGAAAGCCUGAUCCAGCCAUGCCGCGUGAGUGAAGAAGGCCUUCGGGUUGUAAAGCUCUUUUAGUCGGAAAGAAAGAGUCGCAAUGAAUAAUUGUGAUUUAUGACGGUACCGACAGAAAAAGCACCGGCUAACUACGUGCCAGCAGCCGCGGUAAUACGUAGGGUGCGAGCGUUAAUCGGAAUUACUGGGCGUAAAGGGUGCGCAGGCGGUUUUGCAAGUCAGAUGUGAAAGCCCCGGGCAUAACCUGGGAAUUGCGUUUGAAAACUCAAGGCUAGAGUGCAGCAGAGGGGAUGGAAUUCCGAUGUGUAGCAGUGAAAUGCGUAGAGAUGUGGAAGAACACCGAUGGCGAAGGCAGCUCCCUGGGUUGACACUGACGCUCA
This 402-nucleotide ribosomal RNA is filed under the name uncultured bacterium. RNAcentral's name for it is "bacterial SSU rRNA". It matches the Rfam family "Bacterial small subunit ribosomal RNA", at positions 355 to 749 of the family's 1533-position model. The record is from RNAcentral.